This 497-nucleotide ribosomal RNA is filed under the name uncultured bacterium. Its description in RNAcentral is "partial 16S ribosomal RNA". It matches the Rfam family "Bacterial small subunit ribosomal RNA", at positions 28 to 507 of the family's 1533-position model. The record is from RNAcentral.
GAUGAACGCUGGCGGCGUGCCUAAUACAUGCAAGUCGAGCGAACAGACGAGGAGCUUGCUCCUCUGACGUUAGCGGCGGACGGGUGAGUAACACGUGGAUAACCUACCUAUAAGACUGGGAUAACUUCGGGAAACCGGAGCUAGUACCGGAUAAUAUAUUGAACCGCAUGGUUCAAUAGUGAAAGACGGUUUUGCUGUCACUUAUAGAUGGAUCCGCGCCGCAUUAGCUAGUUGGUAAGGUAACGGCUUACCAAGGCAACGAUGCGUAGCCGACCUGAGAGGGUGAUCGGCCACACCGGAACUGAGACACGGUCCAGACUCCUACGGGAGGCAGCAGUAGGGAAUCUUCCGCAAUGGGCGAAAGCCUGACGGAGCAACGCCGCGUGAGUGAUGAAGGUCUUCGGAUCGUAAAACUCUGUUAUUAGGGAAGAACAAAUGUGUAAGUAACUAUGCACGUCUUGACGGUACCUAAUCAGAAAGCCACGGCUAACUACGUG